This 253-nucleotide ribosomal RNA is filed under the name uncultured bacterium. RNAcentral describes it as "partial 16S ribosomal RNA". It matches the Rfam family "Bacterial small subunit ribosomal RNA", at positions 524 to 776 of the family's 1533-position model. The record is from RNAcentral.
UACGAAGGGGGCUAGCGUUGUUCGGAAUUACUGGGCGUAAAGCGCGCGCAGGCGGCUCCUCAAGUCAGGGGUGAAAGCCCAGGGCUCAACCCUGGAAUUGCCUUUGAAACUGUGGAGCUUGAGUACGGUAGAGGUGAGUGGAAUUCCCAGUGUAGAGGUGAAAUUCGUAGAUAUUGGGAAGAACACCGGUGGCGAAGGCGGCUCACUGGACCGUUUCUGACGCUCAGGCGCGACAGCGUGGGGAUCAAACAGG